AUUGAACGCUGGCGGCAUGCUUUACACAUGCAAGUCGAACGGUAACAGGCCGCAAGGUGCUGACGAGUGGCGAACGGGUGAGUAAUGCAUCGGAACGUGCCCAGUCGUGGGGGAUAACGCAGCGAAAGCUGCGCUAAUACCGCAUACGAUCUCUGGAUGAAAGCGGGGGACCGAAAGGCCUCGCGCGAUUGGAGCGGCCGAUGUCAGAUUAGGUAGUUGGUGGGGUAAAGGCCCACCAAGCCAACGAUCUGUAGCUGGUCUGAGAGGACGACCAGCCACACUGGGACUGAGACACGGCCCAGACUCCUACGGGAGGCAGCAGUGGGGAAUUUUGGACAAUGGGCGCAAGCCUGAUCCAGCAAUGCCGCGUGCAGGAAGAAGGCCUUCGGGUUGUAAACUGCUUUUGUACGGAACGAAACGGUCCGGGCUAAUACCCUGGGCUAAUGACGGUACCGUAAGAAUAAGCACCGGCUAACUACGUGCCAGCAGCCGCGGUAA
This 498-nucleotide ribosomal RNA is filed under the name uncultured bacterium. RNAcentral's name for it is "partial 16S ribosomal RNA". It matches the Rfam family "Bacterial small subunit ribosomal RNA", at positions 29 to 523 of the family's 1533-position model. The record is from RNAcentral.